Molecule: ribosomal RNA, 505 nt
Filed under: uncultured bacterium
Lineage: Bacteria
Description: partial 16S ribosomal RNA
Rfam family: Bacterial small subunit ribosomal RNA
Source: RNAcentral
GACGAACGCUGGCGGCGUGCCUAAUACAUGCAAGUCGAACGCACAGUUUAUACCGUAGCUUGCUACACCAUAGACUGUGAGUUGCGAACGGGUGAGUAACGCGUAGGUAACCUGCCUGGGAGCGGGGGAUAACUAUUGGAAACGAAAGCUAAUACCGCAUAAUAUUAAUUAUUGCAUGAUAAUUAAUUGAAAGGUGCAAUUGCACCACUACCAGAUGGACCUGCGUUGUAUUAGCUAGUAGGUGAGGUAACGGCUCACCUAGGCGACGAUACAUAGCCGACCUGGGGGGGUGGUCGGCCACACUGGGACUGAGACACCGCCCCGGCUCCUUCCGGGAGCAGCCGUAGGGGAUCUUCGGCAAUGGAGGGAAGUCUGACCGAGCAACGCCGCGUGAGGGAAGGAGGGUUUUGGGUCGUAAAGCUCUGUUGUAAGGGAAGAACGGGUGUGAGAGUGGAAAGUUCACACUGUGACGGUACCUUACCAGAAAGGGACGGCUAACUACGUG